This 1241-nucleotide long non-coding RNA is filed under the name Oryctolagus cuniculus (rabbit). RNAcentral describes it as "lncRNA (ENSOCUG00000031908.1)". The record is from RNAcentral. Lineage: Eukaryota; Metazoa; Chordata; Mammalia; Lagomorpha; Leporidae.
AUGGGACAGAGAUGCCCAGGGCAUCUACCCAGCGGCAUUCUCCCCCCAAAUCUGCAGGUUUGGAGGUGCGGGGGGGGCAGAAGAUCUAUUGUGAGGAAGCCAAGAAGCGGAUGUCUGCCUCCCCUGCUCCCUCCCACAGGGCAAGGAUGUGAAACUAACCCAAAGUGGACGGUGAAGUGCAACUGCCGGGUGUUCUUCCAGUUCUGGAGACUGCACAGCUUCCUGCUCAAUGCCAGCUGGACCUUCUUCCUAGAGAGAAGCAACUGGCAGCUCUGUGUGAAAGCUUCUGCUUUCAUGGAGUUUUUGUUCCGAUUGCUGUUUGGGGGCUGGGGAUGACUUAGUCCUGCAGCACUUUACCAGGUAGGAGUUCUUGAAAUAUCUUCCCCUUAUGUUGCAAUGUAUACUUUCUAGUACUUGCUAUUCCUCAUUUGAUUUUUUCCAUCUCUGAUAUUUCCUUUAUUUUAUGAUCUGUCAAACCAUGUCUUUUUGUUUUACACUGUCACAUUGUUUAGGAAUGCAAAGUCUUCCUUAUGUUUUACUUUAUAGGAUGUGUCAUUCUUUACAAUGCAGUGUUAUUUUUGAGUCACACUUAUUCUGAAUUAUAUAGCCUUUAUACUCUUACUUUUUAGGUUAUUUCUACAGAAAGAUAUGCAAGCUUACAUUUUUAUGAAAGUCAGGAUUUUCCAUGUACAGAAUUUUAUGAAUGUGCAAAUUUUAUGUAUUUAAUUUUCCUGAAAUGUGAGUGCUUACCUGUUUUAUAUAAAUUUCUAUUAAAGAUUGAUGUUGUCUCCAGUGGAUGUAUUUGGUUUUUUAUUUUUUUAUUUUUGACAGGCAGAGUGGACAGUGAGAGAGAGAGACAGAGAGAAAGGUCUUUCUUUUGCUGUUGGUUCACCCUCCAAUGGCCGCUGCGGCUGGCGUGCUGUUGCCGGCGCGUCAUGCUGCUCUGAAGGCAGGAGCCGGGUGCUUCUCCUGGUCUCCCAUGAGGUGCCGGGCCCAAGGACUUGGGCUAUCCUCCACUCACUCCUGGGCCAUAGCAGAGAACUGGCCUGGAACAGGGGCAACUGGGACAGAAUCUGGCGACCCAACCGGUACAAGAACCCGGUGUGCCGGCACCUCAAGGUGGAGGAUUAGCCGAUUGAAUCAUGGCACCGGCUUGUAUUCGUUUUUUAGGCUAAAAUAAUUCUUGGGUAUAUUUUAUAGAACAAUUCUAAGAAUAAACGACAUUCCUUUUUUUUUUGACA